This is a long non-coding RNA of Tyto alba (common barn owl), 94 nucleotides long. RefSeq lists it as uncharacterized. The record is from RefSeq and is a predicted model, not a curated record. Lineage: Eukaryota; Metazoa; Chordata; Aves; Strigiformes; Tytonidae. The transcript is spliced from 3 exons.
AAUGCUUACCUGACUUUGGAUGGCUAAAGCCUGAGAAGUAUUUCUUCUUGCCAACAGAAACAGUCCUGCGUCUGCCUGCUGCCUUGGUCCUGGC